UGCGUAUUACAUAUUCUGAGAAGUGAUCACUGAUAAUGUUAUAUAAUAAAACUUUACUAAAUUAGUAUAGUCAUUUGCAAUUUACACUAUGAUCGAAGUGAGUGCGCCUAAUUCUGGACAACAGCUAGCUAUCCUUCAAAAUUAGUAUCAUCAACUGCAGCAGGAAAACAUUUGUUAUCAAACGUGCAUUAGAAACCAGCAACCACAAUUAGAAGAGCUAAAGGCAAAAAAAAAUCCAUGCACUCCUCAAGCGGAAAAAAAAAGAACGCACUCCAUUAGCAGCAAAAAACAACAACGUAUUUGCAUCUGAGAUUACAGAAAACACCACCAACUCUGAAACCUUGUGUUGGGUUAAAACAUAGUGAAAGGG
RNAcentral lists this long non-coding RNA (370 nucleotides) under Mytilus galloprovincialis (Mediterranean mussel). The record is from RNAcentral. Lineage: Eukaryota; Metazoa; Mollusca; Bivalvia; Mytilida; Mytilidae.